CCUACGGGUGGCAGCAGUGAGGAAUAUUGGGCAAUGGGCGAGAGCCUGAACCAGCCAAGUCGCGUGAGGGAGUACUGCCCUAUGGGUUGUAAACCUCUUUUGUCGGGGAGCAAAAGCCGGACGUGUCCGGCUGUGAGAGUACCCGAAGAAAAGCAUCGGCUAACUCCGUGCCAGCAGCCGCGAUAAGACGGAGGAUGCGAGUGUUAGCCGGAUGUAUUGGGUUUAAUGGGUGAGCAGGCGGAUUUUUAAGUCGGCGGUCAAACCGUGGGGCUCAACCCCAUCCAGCCGUUGAAACUGGGGGUCUAGAGUAUGCGAGAGGUAUGCGGAAUGCGUGGUGUAGCGGUGAAAUGCGUAGAUAUCACGCAGAACCCCGAUUGCGAAGGCAGCAUACCGGUGCACAACUGACGCUCAGGCACGAAAGCGUGGGUAUCGAACAGGAUUAGAUACCCUGGUAGUC
Molecule: ribosomal RNA, 457 nt
Filed under: uncultured bacterium
Lineage: Bacteria
Description: partial 16S ribosomal RNA
Rfam family: Bacterial small subunit ribosomal RNA
Source: RNAcentral